Molecule: ribosomal RNA, 453 nt
Filed under: Pantoea sp. LL54
Lineage: Bacteria; Pseudomonadati; Pseudomonadota; Gammaproteobacteria; Enterobacterales; Erwiniaceae
Description: bacterial SSU rRNA
Rfam family: Bacterial small subunit ribosomal RNA
Source: RNAcentral
ACCACUGGAAACGGUGGCUAAUACCGCAUAACGUCGCAAGACCAAAGAGGGGGACCUUCGGGCCUCUCACUAUCGGAUGAACCCAGAUGGGAUUAGCUAGUAGGCGGGGUAAUGGCCCACCUAGGCGACGAUCCCUAGCUGGUCUGAGAGGAUGACCAGCCACACUGGAACUGAGACACGGUCCAGACUCCUACGGGAGGCAGCAGUGGGGAAUAUUGCACAAUGGGCGCAAGCCUGAUGCAGCCAUGCCGCGUGUAUGAAGAAGGCCUUCGGGUUGUAAAGUACUUUCAGCGGGGAGGAAGGCGACGGGGUUAAUAACCGCGUCGAUUGACGUUACCCGCAGAAGAAGCACCGGCUAACUCCGUGCCAGCAGCCGCGGUAAUACGGAGGGUGCAAGCGUUAAUCGGAAUUACUGGGCGUAAAGCGCACGCAGGCGGUCUGUUAAGUCAGAUG